CCAGUUGAUCGCAUGGUCUUCUGGGAAAGCUUUCGCGGUAUGGGAUGGGGUCGCGUCCUAUCAGCUUGACGGCGGGGUAACGGCCCACCGUGGCUUCGACGGGUAGCCGGCCUGAGAGGGCGACCGGCCACAUUGGGACUGAGAUACGGCCCAGACUCCUACGGGAGGCAGCAGUGGGGAAUAUUGCACAAUGGGCGCAAGCCUGAUGCAGCGACGCCGCGUGAGGGAUGGAGGCCUUCGGGUUGUAAACCUCUUUUAUCGGGGAGCAAGCGAGAGUGAGUUUACCCGUUGAAUAAGCACCGGCUAACUACGUGCCAGCAGCCGCGGUAAUACGUAGGGUGCAAGCGUUAUCCGGAAUUAUUGGGCGUAAAGGGCUCGUAGGCGGUUCGUCGCGUCCGGUGUGAAAGUCCAUCGCUUAACG
This 421-nucleotide ribosomal RNA is filed under the name uncultured Bifidobacterium sp. RNAcentral's name for it is "bacterial SSU rRNA". It matches the Rfam family "Bacterial small subunit ribosomal RNA", at positions 173 to 614 of the family's 1533-position model. Lineage: Bacteria; Bacillati; Actinomycetota; Actinomycetes; Bifidobacteriales; Bifidobacteriaceae. The record is from RNAcentral.